Molecule: ribosomal RNA, 459 nt
Filed under: uncultured bacterium
Lineage: Bacteria
Description: partial 16S ribosomal RNA
Rfam family: Bacterial small subunit ribosomal RNA
Source: RNAcentral
CCUACGGGAGGCAGCAGUGAGGAAUAUUGGUCAAUGGGCGGGAGCCUGAACCAGCCAAGCCGCGUGAGGGAAGAAGGUACAGCGUAUCGUAAACCUCUUUUGUCAGGGAACAAAGGCGGGGACUAGUCCCCGGAUGAGGGUACCUGAAGAAAAAGCAUCGGCUAACUCCGUGCCAGCAGCCGCGGUAAUACGGAGGAUGCGAGCGUUAUCCGGAUUUAUUGGGUUUAAAGGGUGCGCAGGCGGCCUGUUAAGUCAGCGGUAAAAGCCCGGGGCUCAACCCCGGCGAGCCGUUGAAACUGGCGGGCUUGAGUUGGAGAGAAGUAGGCGGAAGUCGCGGUGUAGCGGUGAAAUGCUUAGAUAUCGCGCAGAACCCCGAUUGCGAAGGCAGCGUACCGGCUCCACACUGACGCUGAGGCACGAAAGCGUGGGUAUCGAACAGGAUUAGAUACCCCAGUAGUC